AAUAUUGGACAAUGGGCGAAAGCCUGAUCCAGCCAUGCCGCGUGUGUGAAGAAGGUCUUCGGAUUGUAAAGCACUUUCAGUGGGGAGGAAGGGUUGUAGGUUAAUACCCUGCAAUUCUGACGUCACCAACAGAAUAAGCACCGGCUAACUUCGUGACAGCAGCCGCGGUAAUACGAAGGGUGCAAGCGUUAAUCGGAAUUACUGGGCGUAAAGCGCGCGUAGGUGGUUCGUUAAGUUGGAAGUGAAAGCCCCGGGCUUAACCUGGGAAUUGCAUCCAAAACUGUCUGACUAGAGUAUGGCAGAGGGUGGUGGAAUUUCCUGUGUAGCGGUGAAAUGCGUAGAUAUAGGAAGGAACACCAGUGGCGAAGGCGACCACCUGGGCUAAUACUGACACUGAGGUGCGAAAGCGUGGGGAGCAAACAGG
RNAcentral lists this ribosomal RNA (424 nucleotides) under uncultured bacterium. Its description in RNAcentral is "partial 16S ribosomal RNA". It matches the Rfam family "Bacterial small subunit ribosomal RNA", at positions 360 to 776 of the family's 1533-position model. The record is from RNAcentral.